Molecule: ribosomal RNA, 253 nt
Filed under: uncultured bacterium
Lineage: Bacteria
Description: partial 16S ribosomal RNA
Rfam family: Bacterial small subunit ribosomal RNA
Source: RNAcentral
UACGUAGGGUGCAAGCGUUAAUCGGAAUUACUGGGCGUAAAGCGUGCGCAGGCGGUUAUGCAAGACAGAUGUGAAAUCCCCGGGCUCAACCUGGGAACUGCAUUUGUGACUGCAUGGCUGGAGUGCGGCAGAGGGGGAUGGAAUUCCGCGUGUAGCAGUGAAAUGCGUAGAUAUGCGGAGGAACACCGAUGGCGAAGGCAAUCCCCUGGGCCUGCAUUGACGCUCAUGCACGAAAGCGUGGGGAGCAAACAGG